GGCGAGUGAAGCGGCAACAGCUCAAAUUUGAAAUCUGGCUCUUUCAGGGUCCGAGUUGUAAUUUGCAGAGGGUGCUUUGGCGUUGGCUGUGGUCUAAGUUCCUUGGAACAGGACGUCACAGAGGGUGAGAAUCCCGUACGUGGCCGCCAGCUUUCGCCGUGUAAAGCCCCUUCGAUGAGUCGAGUUGUUUGGGAAUGCAGCUCUAAAUGGGAGGUAAAUUUCUUCUAAAGCUAAAUAUUUGCCAGAGACCGAUAGCGCACAAGUAGAGUGAUCGAAAGAUGAAAAGCACUUUGGAAAGAGAGUCAAAAAGCACGUGAAAUUGUUGAAAGGGAAGCGCUUGCAGCUAGACGUGCCUUGGGUUGAUCAGCCGGACUUUUGCCCGGUGCACUCUUCCUUUGGCAGGCCAGCAUCAGUUUGGGCGGCUGGAUAAAGGUCUGUUAAACGUGACUUCCUUCGGGGAGAGCUUAUAGGGCAGACGACAUGCAGCCAGCCUGAACUGAGGUCCGCGCAUCUGCUAGGAUGCUGGCGUAAUAGCUGUAAGCGGCCCGUCUUGAAACACGGACCAAGGAGUCUAACAUCUAUGCGAGUGUUUGGGUGUCAAGCCCGAGCGCGCAAUGAAAGUAAACGGAGGUGGGAACCCUCGGGUGCACCAUCGACCGAUCCUGAUGUCUUCGGAUGGAUUUGAGUAAGAGCAUAGCUGUUGGGACCCGAAAGAUGGUGAACUAUGCCUGAAUAGGGUGAAGCCAGAGGAAACUCUGGUGGAGGCUCGCAGCGGUUCUGACGUGCAAAUCGAUCGUCAAAUUUGGGCAUAGGGGCG
RNAcentral lists this ribosomal RNA (817 nucleotides) under Pseudolophiostoma mangiferae. RNAcentral's name for it is "partial large subunit ribosomal RNA". It matches the Rfam family "Eukaryotic large subunit ribosomal RNA", at positions 88 to 925 of the family's 3401-position model. Lineage: Eukaryota; Fungi; Ascomycota; Dothideomycetes; Pleosporales; Lophiostomataceae. The record is from RNAcentral.